Molecule: long non-coding RNA, 1600 nt
Filed under: Haliotis rufescens (red abalone)
Lineage: Eukaryota; Metazoa; Mollusca; Gastropoda; Lepetellida; Haliotidae
Description: uncharacterized LOC124134576
Source: RNAcentral
AUCAUUGACAUCUGUGAACGACGGUAACAGACAGAAACGUGAUCGUUAGGGUAUUGCAUCACCAAAACCCAAGACUAACACCUCCAGUGAUUGGUCGAAAUAUCUUACAAAUGGAAGCCAAAAUAUGCAUAGAUGUAAGUACAGGCCUCUCUGCACCAACGACGAUCGGGGCUCUUUAACAGUUUUAGGAAGUUUGAACUGUUGGAGAAAAAAGGCUCACGAUGAUGCUGAAGCAAAUAGUUCUUCUUCUUGUCCUCGUAAUCACCACGGCAACAGCCUUCUACUGGCCGAGGUUCAACUUUGUCAGGAGCUUUGGGAGAGGUAUACGCGGUGGACAGUACAAUCGUCUUAAUCCCUGGCUGUUUAGGGCGAUGGACGAUGCCUCUGAAAUAGGACCCGACUUCUGAUUUGAUAGAGAUAAUGUUUCUGCAUUGCUGCACCAUGCAAGGCCUCUCUGAAAUGCACAUGAGUUGUGUACAUCAUGUCAUUGACCAAAUACUGAUUUACUGGUUGCAGGAUAUGAAUGAGCAAACUAAUGAUGUUUAAAUCCGUGCAUGAGAACUCUGUGAUAUUCCUGAUAUUAAAGUGUACAACAUUUCUAUUUAUGAUUCAUCAUUAGCAAUGUAAACCUUUAGUUUUGGUCAAGGGAUGGGUCUAGGGAUUAUAAUUAGUGACCCGUGUGAAUGUUUGAGUAAAGUUGCAUCCGAUAUAUGUAAAUAAAUUCGGUCAGUACAACUCACAACAUCACAGUAUAACUCACAAAAUGACAGUAUAAUUAAAAAAAUCACAAUAUAGCUGUCCGUAGAGACCGUAGGCCCAAAGUCGGCAACCAAAAUGCAAUAUUUACAUUAUAUAACCUCCGAAACAUUUUGAAAAUUAUUUACCUGUGGAUAUUGUGCUACUGCUUCUAUCUAAUGUUUGAAAUAAUUUAUUUCUUGGCUUCCCAUAGGUUAUAAUAAACAAUUACUGGGCGAGGGUUGAAGUUCAUGGUCAGAAGAGUUAUGAUGUCACAGAAAACUAGUAACAUGUCUUUGACAUUACGAUUCCAUACUGAAAUUGUCUGUCUAACCUUGCUUCUGCAAAUGUACACAUAAUCUUGUAACUGUAGGUUUGACGUAACAUUUAAUAAGAAAUGUCAUAUGUCUUGUAAAAAAAUCAGCUAGUAUAUAUGUCAUUGAAUAUUGGUUUUGUUUAUGAAACAAGGGCGUCAACUAGAGCUCUACUUGGUUUUCACGAUCACGUGCGCUUUAAGGAAACCCUUCAGUCUGGACACAAUUCAAUUGUCUCUUGUCUGCAAGCCUAUGGUCACUUCUCUACAGAAAUAGCUACAAUAUGCCGUGUCACUUCUUAAUGGUACACCUAUCCCCUACUGGGCACUUCCAAGCGCUUGUAACGCUUACUGUGACAGAAACCUCUACGGGAACGACGAAAUGAACAUUGUGGUUUUCCAAUAUGUUUUCCAAUAUGUGUUGAAGAAGUGUUACCCCCGACGAGAAUUCAAACUUGAUGGACAUCUAGUAAUUCAUUUUGUACUUAUUGCAUGGGAGGAAAAAAAUACAAUUCGUCGACGUCAAUGCGUAUUAAAGUCAUAAUUUAAUUA